This 1522-nucleotide ribosomal RNA is filed under the name metagenome. RNAcentral describes it as "bacterial SSU rRNA". It matches the Rfam family "Bacterial small subunit ribosomal RNA". The record is from RNAcentral.
AGAGUUUGAUCAUGGCUCAGAUUGAACGCUGGCGGCAGGCCUAACACAUGCAAGUCGAACGGUAACAGGAAACAGCUUGCUGUUUCGCAGACGAGUGGCGGACGGGUGAGUAAUGUCUGGGAAACUGCCUGAUGGAGGGGGAUAACUACUGGAAACGGUAGCUAAUACCGCAUAACGUCGCAAGACCAAAGAGGGGGACCUUCGGGCCUCUUGCCAUCAGAUGUGCCCAGAUGGGAUUAGCUAGUAGGUGGGGUAACGGCUCACCUAGGCGACGAUCCCUAGCUGGUCUGAGAGGAUGACCAGCCACACUGGAACUGAGACACGGUCCAGACUCCUACGGGAGGCAGCAGUGGGGAAUAUUGCACAAUGGGCGCAAGCCUGAUGCAGCCAUGCCGCGUGUAUGAAGAAGGCCUUCGGGUUGUAAAGUACUUUCAGCGGGGAGGAAGGGAGUAAAGUUAAUACCUUUGCUCAUUGACGUUACCCGCAGAAGAAGCACCGGCUAACUCCGUGCCAGCAGCCGCGGUAAUACGGAGGGUGCAAGCGUUAAUCGGAAUUACUGGGCGUAAAGCGCACGCAGGCGGUUUGUUAAGUCAGAUGUGAAAUCCCCGGGCUCAACCUGGGAACUGCAUCUGAUACUGGCAAGCUUGAGUCUCGUAGAGGGGGGUAGAAUUCCAGGUGUAGCGGUGAAAUGCGUAGAGAUCUGGAGGAAUACCGGUGGCGAAGGCGGCCCCCUGGACGAAGACUGACGCUCAGGUGCGAAAGCGUGGGGAGCAAGCAGGAUUAGAUACCCUGGUAGUCCACGCCGUAAACGAUGUCGACUUGGAGGUUGUGCCCUUGAGGCGUGGCUUCCGGAGCUAACGCGUUAAGUCGACCGCCUGGGGAGUACGGCCGCAAGGUUAAAACUCAAAUGAAUUGACGGGGGCCCGCACAAGCGGUGGAGCAUGUGGUUUAAUUCGAUGCAACGCGAAGAACCUUACCUGGUCUUGACAUCCACGGAAGUUUUCAGAGAUGAGAAUGUGCCUUCGGGAACCGUGAGACAGGUGCUGCAUGGCUGUCGUCAGCUCGUGUUGUGAAAUGUUGGGUUAAGUCCCGCAACGAGCGCAACCCUUAUCCUUUGUUGCCAGCGGUCCGGCCGGGAACUCAAAGGAGACUGCCAGUGAUAAACUGGAGGAAGGUGGGGAUGACGUCAAGUCAUCAUGGCCCUUACGACCAGGGCUACACACGUGCUACAAUGGCGCAUACAAAGAGAAGCGACCUCGCGAGAGCAGGCGGACCUCAUAAAGUGCGUCGUAGUCCGGAUUGGAGUCUGCAACUCGACUCCAUGAAGUCGGAAUCGCUAGUAAUCGUGGAUCAGAAUGCCACGGUGAAUACGUUCCCGGGCCUUGUACACACCGCCCGUCACACCAUGGGAGUGGGUUGCAAAAGAAGUAGGUAGCUUAACCUUCGGGAGGGCGCUUACCACUUUGUGAUUCAUGACUGGGGUGAAGUCGUAACAAGGUAACCGUAGGGGAACCUGCGGUUG